Molecule: transfer RNA, 62 nt
Filed under: Neotoma lepida (desert woodrat)
Lineage: Eukaryota; Metazoa; Chordata; Mammalia; Rodentia; Cricetidae
Rfam family: tRNA
About the family: Transfer RNA (tRNA) molecules are approximately 80 nucleotides in length. Their secondary structure includes four short double-helical elements and three loops (D, anti-codon, and T loops).
Source: Rfam by way of RNAcentral
UGUAGUUCAGCUGGUAGAGUGCUUGCCUGGCAUACAUGAAGCCCUGGGUUCAAUUCCCAGUA